RNAcentral lists this ribosomal RNA (398 nucleotides) under Nitrosopumilaceae archaeon. RNAcentral describes it as "partial 23S ribosomal RNA". It matches the Rfam family "Bacterial large subunit ribosomal RNA", at positions 1214 to 1614 of the family's 2925-position model. Lineage: Archaea; Thermoproteati; Nitrososphaerota; Nitrososphaeria; Nitrosopumilales; Nitrosopumilaceae. The record is from RNAcentral.
GAAGCGUAUGCGUGGUAGAGGAGCGUUCCGUAAGCCUGUGAAGGUGUGUCGUGAGGCAUGCUGGAGGUAUCGGAAGUGCGAAUGCUGACAUGAGUAACGAUAAUGCGGGUGAAAAACCCGCACGCCGAAAACCCAAGGGUUCCUGCGCAACGUUAAUCGGCGCAGGGUGAGUCGGCCCCUAAGGCGAGACCGAAAGGUGUAGUCGAUGGGAAGCAGGUUAAUAUUCCUGCACCGCGUAUUACUGCGAUGGGGGGACGAAGUAGGCUAGGCCAGCCGGGUGUUGGUUAUCCCGGUUUAAGCGUGUAGGGAGUGCUCUUAGGCAAAUCCGGGAGCACAAUCCUGAGGCGUGAUGACGAGUCCUCUUUUGGACGAAGUGGUUGAUGCCCUGCUUCCAGGAA